Molecule: ribosomal RNA, 366 nt
Filed under: uncultured eukaryote
Lineage: Eukaryota
Description: partial 18S ribosomal RNA
Rfam family: Eukaryotic small subunit ribosomal RNA
Source: RNAcentral
CAAUAGCGUAUAUUAACGUUGUUGCAGUUAAAAAGCUCGUAGUUGGAUUUCUGGUGGGAGCGUCGGCCCGUAUUUACGAGUGCGUGACGUCUCUGUCCAUCCUUGCGGGAAGGCACGGCAUUGAUUUGUUGUGUCGGAUCGCAUCAUUUACUGUGAAAAAAUUAGAGUGUUCAAAGCAGGCUUUCGCUUGAAUACAUUAGCAUGGAAUAAUAAGAUAGGACUUUGGUGCUAUUUUGUUGGUUGAGCCUAAAGUAAUGAUUAAUAGGGAUAGUUGGGGGCACCUGUAUUGCGUUGUCAGAGGUGAAAUUCUUGGAUUUACGCAAGACAAACAGCUGCGAAAGCGUCUGCCAAGGAUGUUUUCAUUAA